Long non-coding RNA from Canis lupus familiaris (dog), 3302 nucleotides. RefSeq lists it as uncharacterized. Lineage: Eukaryota; Metazoa; Chordata; Mammalia; Carnivora; Canidae. The transcript has 4 exons. The record is from RefSeq and is a predicted model, not a curated record.
UUGGAUUGCGACUCCAUACUGAAUGUAAGGAAGAGAGUAUCUGGCAUGCAGGAGAUCUCUUAGGGUGUCUCUUAGUAUUACCGUGUCCUAUGAUUGAGGUAAAUGGAAAUCUACAACCCAAUCCAGGCUGGACUAUUAAUGGCACAGAUUCUUCAGGAAUGAAGGUUUGGGUCACUCCAUCAGGACCCCUAACUCCGUGGAUCCAGCUUUAGGAGCAGGAGCACGGAGGAGUGGUGGCUUGGGUCUCUCAUGCUCUCUCUUGGCAUUGGGAAGGACUGCCCCUCUACAUGCAUCAGUUUGGAAAGCAUGGUCUCAAAAGAGAUGGCGUGAUCAUCUGGAGAGAGAAGAGAUAGGCUGUUUCAUAUUGCAGAUUGGUGAAGAAGUCCUCUAGGAGGAUGUAAUGAGAAGAUGACCGACUAACUGUAAACCAAGUAGAGGAUUCUCGUCAGAGUCCAACCAUGACUUUGGACUUCCCAGACUCCAGAACGGCUUAUCGAUCCGACCUGAAUCAGCGGUCGUUUUUAAAUAAUCGGUGCGUGACCAACAGCUAAACUACGGAAGCGGCCGAGGCGUCCAUCGGUAGAUGAAUGGAUAAAGAUGUGGGGCACAGACAUUAUAUAUACAAUGGAAUAUUCUCCAGCCAUAAAAAAAAAAAAAAAAAAAAAGAAUGAAAUCUUGCCAUUUGCAGCUACACAGAUGACUCACCCACGAACCUGCAGAAUUCACAUGAUGCUGUCCUGACCUAACCCGAUGCCUCCCUGUGUGUCCCCGGGCAGCCCGGGUGCCCUUUCCUCUUGGGAACUGUGACAAAGGAUCUUUUCCAAUGGCAUUUGUCCCCGAUCUGUUGGCCCACCAUCUCUCAGUUUUAAAAAACCUCCAUCUUUAAAACAAAUGUCACAACGAUUCCAGGGACCAGAAGCCCAUUUCUUUGCAAGGCGGCGACUUCAGUGGUGACCUGAUAGGACAGCUCCCGCCCAGCUGGAACUGCAGCCGGCUUCCCGAACCUUCCAAACACUUCUGCCUCCAGGGCAACAGAGAAUAAUCUACUCCCCUUUUUAUUUUUCAAGUGAAUGAUCGAGGAUCUGAAACACACCUAUGACUGCCUUCCUGAAAUACAUUUGUGAGAAUCACACACAUGAAUCUACAGAAUUUUUUGGCUUUAUUUCUAGUCUCCCUUAAAAAAAAAAAAAAAAGAUUUUAUCCAUUCAUUUGAGAGAGAGAGCACACGCAUGUGAGCAGGGGAAGGGGCAGAGGGAGCCCGACUCGGGGCUUGAUCCCAGGAUCCGGAGAUGGUGACCUGCGCCGAAGGCAGAUGUUUAACCACUUAACCAACCGAGCCGCCCUCUAGUUUCCUUCUUACAAUGAUCAGCAUUUCACUAGUCACUGUGGUUUCAACAGCCCAGUGAAUUAUUUUCUAACAUUCCCAUCGUCAUUCACUCAUCCGUGGGGUCAGCGGACCCUUGGCAGCCUGGUAGCCCCCACUGGUUUGUCGCUGUCCUUUAAAAACAUGCAGCGUUUGCCAGAACUGGUCUAUCCACAUGUGGCUUCACGGGCACUAUUACUUUCCUGGGUCCGGGGGUCAGGGUUACGCUGGCGCCUGGCACGACAUCAACUAGUAAUUUACCAGGUAACUUUAUUAAUAAAAGACAUAAUGCCCAGUAAUCUUAUUUCCAGGAUAUUAUAUAUAGGUAUAUAUACACACAUAUAUAUGUAUGUAUAUAUAUUACUUUUUCCUAGACUCUAGCAUUUAAUGGUUCAUAUUAAACACAGAAAUGUUUAAUAACGUUUUUUUUUUUUUGUACCAUUCAUCAAUCUAUCUUGGGUAUUCUAGAGCCAUACUUAUUAACUGCGAUUAGCAGAGCUCCUUGAGGGCAGAGACUUAAGUAUUUAUGAAACACAGCACAUGGAUGAUAGUUGUUGGAUGACUACAUUGUAAUGGUUCCUAUGUGACUACGUAUUACACAAUUUAGCCAAUACUGGGAGAGUUUCCUCUUUAAGUUUCUAUAGAACUCUUGGAUGGUACGUGGUUUCAUUUAUGUUAGCUCAUCAUAUUUAACAUUAUCCUCUUUGUACCCACUGUUUGAAUAAUUUCGUCCCAGUUACUUUAAAAGAGCAAGUUGAAAGGGAAUCUCCUAUCUUAUUCAGUACAUGCAAGAACAAUAGUUAAUUGAUUCUAUUAUGUUUCCACUCAUUCCCACAAACGGCCCAAUUAGCUCCCAACAGUAUCUGCCUGCCAGGUUGCACAAUUAAUGCAAAUUAAUAUAAGUGGUAGUUGAUUAUAUUCCAUUUCUGAGCACUAUGUUUGGUUUUAUCUGUGUACAGGGAAAUUAUCUAGAGUUUUGAUGACAGAUUUCUUCUCAGUCAUAUCUAGAUCUUUUGCAUUAUCUAGAAGUCAUUGAUUUAAGGUAUUUUAUCAAGACUUGUCCAAGAUCUCACUUGCAUUUCUAGCUAACACUUUUGCUGUCCAUAACUAGACUUAUAUUAGAAAAUAAACAUACAAUUAAAGAUCUGAGCAACAAUGUUAUGCAUGUCUGUUUUUGUUAAUGAUUUAGAAAAGCCCUAGGUCAAAUUAUGUUUUAUAUCAUUCCAAAGUUAAUGUAUAAUAGUCCGUAAUCCAAGUUGAAAAUAUGUUCAAAUUAGCUUAAUGAGGGACCCCUGAGUGGCUCAGCAGUUUCGCACUGCCUUUGGCUCAGGGCAUGACCCUGGGGUCUCGGGAUUGAGUCCCGCAUCGGGCUCCUGGCAUGGAGCCUGCUUCUCCCUCUGCCUGUGUCUCUGCCUCUCUCUCUCUCAUGAAUAAAUAAAUAAAAUCUUUAAAAAAAAAAAAUUAUCUUAACGAAUGAGCCUAAGGCAACUAAAAGCCAAAUCUACUUUUUCUGGCUUUUAAUAUGUAAAAGAUUCUCAUUGUUUCACAUAUCUAACAUUAUAAAUCAUUUGUGAUAUUUAAAUCAUUGAUAUGAGUAAUAAUUUUCAGUGUAACUAUGAUAAAUUGCACUAGUAUGAACAUAUUUUUACAAUAUACAGAAUCAAGACAUUGGACAUUGUCUCUUCAGCCAGGAACAAAUGCUGUGUUUUAUGUCCCAUCUAGGCCUGUAUUUGGCUAUCAUUAAAUAUUUAAGCUAUGGGUUUAUACUAAUGUUCUUCAUGAUGGCUUCAUGAAAGGCUUUAUUUUUAAAUUUCUCCUAGCUCAAUGUAAUUUCUUUUAUUUAAUCUCUACACCCAACGUGGGGCUCAAACUCCAGACCCUCAGAUCAAGAUCGCAUACUCUUCUGACCAGCCAGGUGCCCCAUCAGUGUAAUUUUUUA